UACAGAGGGUGCGAGCGUUAAUCGGAAUUACUGGGCGUAAAGCGCGCGUAGGCGGCUUUGCAAGUCGGAUGUGAGAUCCCCAGGCUUAACCUGGGAACUGCUUCCGAGACUGCAUCGCUAGAGUAUGGGAGAGGGAAGUGGAAUUUCAGGUGUAGCGGUGAAAUGCGUAGAUAUCUGAAGGAACAUCAGUGGCGAAAGCGACUUCCUGGACCAAUACUGACGCUCAUGUGCGAAAGCGUGGGGAGCAAACAGG
RNAcentral lists this ribosomal RNA (253 nucleotides) under uncultured bacterium. RNAcentral describes it as "partial 16S ribosomal RNA". It matches the Rfam family "Bacterial small subunit ribosomal RNA", at positions 524 to 776 of the family's 1533-position model. The record is from RNAcentral.